Molecule: ribosomal RNA, 253 nt
Filed under: uncultured bacterium
Lineage: Bacteria
Description: partial 16S ribosomal RNA
Rfam family: Bacterial small subunit ribosomal RNA
Source: RNAcentral
UACAGAGGUCUCAAGCGUUGUUCGGAUUCAUUGGGCGUAAAGGGUUCGUAGGUGGCUCGCUAAGUCAGACGUGAAAUCCCUCAGCUUAACUGGGGAACUGCGUCUGAGACUGGUGAGCUUGAGUGCAGUAGAGGAACGCGGAAUUCCAGGUGUAGCGGUGAAAUGCGUAGAUAUCUGGAGGAACACCGGUGGCGAAGGCGGCGUUCUGGACUGCAACUGACACUGAGGAACGAAAGCCAGGGGAGCAAACGGG